Cyprinus carpio (common carp) is the source of this 2108-nucleotide long non-coding RNA. RefSeq lists it as uncharacterized. Lineage: Eukaryota; Metazoa; Chordata; Actinopteri; Cypriniformes; Cyprinidae. The record is from RefSeq and is a predicted model, not a curated record. The transcript has 2 exons.
CACGCACGGUCUCUGUGAUCCUGUUGGAACAGAAAACAUCCCAUUUGUCAACCAACAGAUGGCUCAGGAAACAAUCAUGCUGAUACUGCAGCAAAGGACGCAGCUAUGAGAACAGACCAUGUCUGCCAAAACACUUUUUCCCACACUAUGCAAAACUUGUACAUUGCCUUAGAUCACGUGAGUAAAGGGGAAUGUUUCAUUUGCUAAAUUUAAAUAUUGGUUCACCAAGGGAUUCUCUUCCUUGCGGACAAGCAUUGUCAAUAGUGUAUGAUCUGUGCAACAAGCAAUGUGGGCAGAGGGCAAAUGAUGCCUCAAGCGGCACACCCACUUCCAAACCAGCCAUUCAAUCAUAUAAUGUUUGAGUGACAUUGGCACACCUUUUGCAAAUUAAGUCAUCACUCAGGUGGGACAUUAAAGAACGUCUAAAUUAAGUGUUGUGAGCAGACAGGACUGUCUUGGGUAAAAGCACUCCCCAUUGUGUUAAUGUAUAUGAGACUGAGAAAAAGAACAAAGUCUAACUUGAGUCCAUUUGAAAUUUGAUUUGGCAGGCUAGCUUCCAUUGGAGUAUGACCAGAACCACGACCAUUACCCUCUACAGCUUUGUGUAAAGAUGACAUGCUAAACUACUGUCCAUAGUUGUCUCUUGUUCUCUCUCAGAUAUCUCAGCAGGUCAAGGACACUCUGCCCAAGCCAGCGGAAGGACUAUUGCAUGAUAUCAGGUCUUGCUGAUAACACACAUUGUGGUGAAAGUGGCAGAGAGAGCUACAAGGGUGCACACAAGUCACUGCAGGAAGGUUACAGCGCCACCAUAGGGCUACAGCUCAGUAAAGUGAUUGACCAGCUGCCCCGUGCCUAGGGGGACGUCUGGCUGACUGAGGUGAACAAACAUACAGUGGUGUAUGGGAGCUGAACAAUGCAGCAACAUCACUGUGUGGGAGUGAUCUGAGGUCAGUAUGGGCCAACAGAUGAUAGCGAGGGACUUGAGCUGUUAGGAAACAUACCAUCUGACCACUGCAGAGAAACUACACGACCAACUCGACAAGUGAAACAUGUGCAUGGGCUGUCUGCUUAACACUUUUACACACAGAGGCCUACCACAAUGCCCAUGUGCCUGACAACGAGGGUACCAGUGUGCUGGAAGACUGGUAUUGGCUGUGUGAACCAUCUGACAAGAGCCAAGAGAGAGAACGAAAAGAAAGUGUCCUCACUGAAAGACCAAGCAGAACAAUCAAGUUUGGCAAGAGACAAUUAUGUUCCGAGAGAACACAGGCUGUGGAAUGGAGCGGAGAAGUUCUUCCAUGCUGUGAUGAUGGAAGGCGUCAAGGAGGAACUACGAGGAUUGAAGCUGACUGCACUGCAAGACCGACUUAUUCUGGACCAGCUCACUGCAUCUCCUGGCGGGGGUGCGUGUACUUGUGGGAACUGUAUUCAAAACAUGACUAAUGCAAUUCACAGGUUGACAGCUAGAGAAGUAAAUGCCAAUGAUGACUGAGGAUGGAAUUGGUUUAAGGGUUUAUGGCAGAAAGCAGAAUACAUUGGGUUAAUUGCUGUCUCAGCACUAGCCAUGAUUUUAUUUUUGCUGUGUAUUUGGCCUUGUGUAGUGGAAAUGAUUAGAAGAGCUGUAAAUUCAAACAUGAAAUCUUCAGUAGUUCAUCAGAUGGUAAUGUACAAUGUCUUGUGUGAAAGUAAGUAUAAUGUGAGUGCUUCUAAUGAAAAUAAAGACAAUGAGAUGCUUAAAUCUGACACCUGCAGCAGCUCUACAGAAGAAGAGUAGUAAGUAAGUAGUAAGUAAGCAUUAUUAUUAUUAUUAUUAUUAUUAUUAUUAUUCUAUGCUGUAGAAUAAAUAGGGUCUAAAGCAGGUCACUGUCUGUGUUAGGAAAUGAUGCAACACGAAGGAAAGAUAAGAAAGUUUCUUCUGUUUGAAUAUCACACUAAGAUUUUUACCUAAUCAAAUAUAAGAGUUGUUUGUUUUCUUUAUAGCUUUCUUAUAUGUUAAGAAUGAUUAUGUUCCAUAAAAAACUAUGCAAAUGCUUUUGUUCACCCUUAUGAGAGUGAUGGUGUUUUAAAUCCUAAUAAAUUUACAUGCUUAAUGUAAACAAUAGGGGUAA